This 373-nucleotide ribosomal RNA is filed under the name uncultured bacterium. RNAcentral describes it as "bacterial SSU rRNA". It matches the Rfam family "Bacterial small subunit ribosomal RNA", at positions 527 to 898 of the family's 1533-position model. The record is from RNAcentral.
GGAGGGUGCAAGCGUUGUUCGGAAUCACUGGGCGUAAAGGGCGUGUAGGCGGUCCGCUAAGUCUGAUGUGAAAGCCCGGGGCUCACCCCCGGAAGGGCAUUGGAAACUGGCGGACUCGAGUCCCGGAGAGGAAGGUGGAAUUCCUGGUGUAGCGGUGAAAUGCGUAGAUAUCAGGAGGAAUACCGGUGGCGAAGGCGGCCUUCUGGACGGUGACUGACGCUGAGACGCGAAAGCGUGGGGAGCAAACAGGAUUAGAUACCCUGGUAGUCCACGCUGUAAACGAUGAGCACUAGGUGUCGUGGGUAUUGACCCCCGCGGUGCCGACGCUAACGCAUUAAGUGCUCCGCCUGGGGACUACGGCCGCAAGGUUAAA